RNAcentral lists this ribosomal RNA (492 nucleotides) under uncultured bacterium. Its description in RNAcentral is "partial 16S ribosomal RNA". It matches the Rfam family "Bacterial small subunit ribosomal RNA", at positions 29 to 507 of the family's 1533-position model. The record is from RNAcentral.
AGUGAACGCUGGCGGUAGGCCUAACACAUGCAAGUCGAACGGCGGCACAGUAAGAGCUUGCUCUUACGGGUGGCGAGUGGCGGACGGGUGAGGAAUACAUCGGAAUCUACUUUUUCGUGGGGGAUAACGUAGGGAAACUUACGCUAAUACCGCAUACGACCUACGGGUGAAAGCAGGGGAUCUUCGGACCUUGCGCGAUUGAAUGAGCCGAUGUCGGAUUAGCUAGUUGGCGGGGUAAAGGCCCACCAAGGCGACGAUCCGUAGCUGGUCUGAGAGGAUGAUCAGCCACACUGGAACUGAGACACGGUCCAGACUCCUACGGGAGGCAGCAGUGGGGAAUAUUGGACAAUGGGCGCAAGCCUGAUCCAGCCAUACCGCGUGGGUGAAGAAGGCCUUCGGGUUGUAAAGCCGUUUUGUUGGGAAAGAAAAGCAGCAGGUUAAUACCCCGCUGUUCUGACGGUACCCAAAGAAUAAGCACCGGCUAACUUCGUG